This 449-nucleotide ribosomal RNA is filed under the name uncultured bacterium. RNAcentral describes it as "bacterial SSU rRNA". It matches the Rfam family "Bacterial small subunit ribosomal RNA", at positions 354 to 796 of the family's 1533-position model. The record is from RNAcentral.
GUAGGGAAUUUUCGGCAAUGGGGGAAACCCUGACCGAGCAACGCCGCGUGAAGGAAGAAGUAAUUCGUUAUGUAAACUUCUGUCAUAGAGGAAGAACGGUGGAUAUAGGGAAUGAUAUCCAAGUGACGGUACUCUAUAAGAAAGCCACGGCUAACUACGUGCCAGCAGCCGCGGUAAUACGUAGGUGGCGAGCGUUAUCCGGAAUUAUUGGGCGUAAAGAGGGAGCAGGCGGCACUAAGGGUCUGUGGUGAAAGAUCGAAGCUUAACUUCGGUAAGCCAUGGAAACCGUAGAGCUAGAGUGUGUGAGAGGAUCGUGGAAUUCCAUGUGUAGCGGUGAAAUGCGUAGAUAUAUGGAGGAACACCAGUGGCGAAGGCGACGAUCUGGCGCAUAACUGACGCUCAGUCCCGAAAGCGUGGGGAGCAAAUAGGAUUAGAAACCCCGGUAGUCC